RNAcentral lists this ribosomal RNA (253 nucleotides) under uncultured bacterium. RNAcentral describes it as "partial 16S ribosomal RNA". It matches the Rfam family "Bacterial small subunit ribosomal RNA", at positions 524 to 776 of the family's 1533-position model. The record is from RNAcentral.
UACGAAGGGGGCUAGCGUUGCUCGGAAUCACUGGGCGUAAAGCGCACGUAGGCGGCUUUUUAAGUCGGUGGUGAAAUCCUGGAGCUCAACUCCAGAACUGCCUUUGAUACUGAGGAUCUUGAGUUCGGGAGAGGUGAGUGGAACUGCGAGUGUAGAGGUGAAAUUCGUAGAUAUUCGCAAGAACACCAGUGGCGAAGGCGGCUCACUGGCCCGAUACUGACGCUGAGGCACGAAAGCGUGGGGAGCAAACAGG